UCAAGACGAUACCCUUACGUCUGUUCACUGACAGUGGGAAGAUUGCAAACAAAAUGAAGCAUUUCGUAGAUUACAGGUUCGAGCUGUUGGAAAAGUAUAACGAGGAGAGGCAGUUGACCCGUGUCUCAUCAACGCGGGUUUCUACCGACCCAUCGUCCGUCGCUACUGGCUUCUCCACACUUCCCUUGACGUCACGGUGACCGGCGACGAGCGUCGGGUCAGCACGUUGGAAGAUCGUCUGGAAGGAAGGUGUUCAGCAUUGUACAUUUUGAUGAGAAGGACGAAGUUUCUGUUGUUCCAUCAACCUGGCUGGGCAGAAACAAAGUUUUAUGGCCACCUUACAAGAACUCCAAGAAAGUAGCCGUCGCAAUUAAAGCAUGCGAAAAUCCAUCAAGCAACUGGUCGCAGCACAGCUGCCGGGUACUUUGUGAAUGUGACUCAUAUGAAACAGCAAGGCAGAGAGAGCAAAAAGCUGCCAUGACAUCAGAUUUGACAACUGAUGAUGACAUGUGUGAACCCAAAAGGAAGCGGUGGCGCCCACAGCGAUUUGAGUCCUCUGAUGAGGAGAGCGCAUCAAUCAUAGGGGAUUCUUCUUGUUUUGUGAACAAGCCAGAAUUGCGUGUUUCACGUUCGCAGGCAACGUCACAGUGUAUUCGUCGCCCAAGGCCUCUCUGCUUGUCCACUUCCCGCGUGCAAGGGGCAGCUUCAACCUCAGAGCCAUCGCCAAAAUAUUCUACUGUGUCUGCUGAAUCCCAGCAACAAGAAAUGCAGAAGUCACGAAAAUCCAGUUGCUUUGUACUGCUGCCAAAUCAUUGAGAUGCUGACUCCAAAGGUUUCUUCCCAGGGGUUAUACCUUUCAAGAAUUGGUGGAUCAUCGCCCCAGGACUGCUUACGGCACAUUAUGCGUCGCUGCAUGAAUGACAGCUUCGAUCAAGGGUUCUGCCUCACCGGCAGAAAAGGAAAACGUCCAUUUCUCGGACUGCGGCUGUAACUCUUAAGUAUUUAAAGUUACUGUUUCAG
Long non-coding RNA from Ornithodoros turicata, 1020 nucleotides. RefSeq lists it as uncharacterized. The transcript has 4 exons. The record is from RefSeq and is a predicted model, not a curated record. NCBI's taxonomy places the organism in Eukaryota, Metazoa, Arthropoda, Arachnida, Ixodida, Argasidae.